RNAcentral lists this ribosomal RNA (308 nucleotides) under uncultured eukaryote. RNAcentral's name for it is "partial 18S ribosomal RNA". It matches the Rfam family "Eukaryotic small subunit ribosomal RNA", at positions 1470 to 1796 of the family's 1831-position model. The record is from RNAcentral.
CCCUUAGACGUUCUGGGCCACACGCGCGCUACACUGACGAAGGCAACGAGCUUUCCUUUACCGAAAGGUACGGGUAAUCUUUUGAAACUUCGUCGUGCUGGGGAUAGAUCCUUGCAAUUAUUGAUCUUAAACGAGGAAUUCCUAGUAAGCGCAAGUCAUCAACUUGCGUUGAUUACGUCCCUGCCCUUUGUACACACCGCCCGUCGCUACUACCGAUUGAAUGGUUUAGUGAGGCCUUCGGAUCCGCGACUCGUUUUGUGGAGAAGUUGGACAAACUCAGUCAUUUAGAGGAAGUAAAAGUCGUAACA